GACGAACGCUGGCGGCGUGCUUAACACAUGCAAGUCGAACGGAAAGGCCCUGCUUUUGUGGGGUGCUCGAGUGGCGAACGGGUGAGUAACACGUGAGUAACCUGCCCUUGACUUUGGGAUAACUUCAGGAAACUGGGGCUAAUACCGGCUAGGAGCUCCUGCUGCAUGGUGGGGGUUGGAAAGUUUCGGCGGUUGGGGAUGGACUCGCGGCUUAUCAGCUUGUUGGUGGGGUAGUGGCUUACCAAGGCUUUGACGCGUAGCCGGCCUGAGAGGGUGACCUGCCACAUUGGGACUGAGAUACGGCCCAGACUCCUACGGGAGGCAGCAGUGGGGAAUAUUGCACAAUGGGCGGAAGCCUGAUGCAGCAACGCCGCGUCCGGGAUGACGGCCUUCGGGUUGGAAACCGCUUUCGCCUGUGACGAAGCGUGAGUGACGGUAAUGGGUAAAGAAGCACCGGCUAACUACGUG
This 468-nucleotide ribosomal RNA is filed under the name uncultured bacterium. RNAcentral's name for it is "partial 16S ribosomal RNA". It matches the Rfam family "Bacterial small subunit ribosomal RNA", at positions 28 to 507 of the family's 1533-position model. The record is from RNAcentral.